RNAcentral lists this long non-coding RNA (2930 nucleotides) under Podarcis muralis (Common wall lizard). RNAcentral describes it as "lncRNA (ENSPMRG00000007975.1)". Lineage: Eukaryota; Metazoa; Chordata; Lepidosauria; Squamata; Lacertidae. The record is from RNAcentral.
AUGCAUGGGGUGUGUGCGUUCCGUUGGGCAAAAGCCUCCUGCAGCAGACACAUUCCACCACCUCCCACUUCCCCAGUUCUGCAGGCCCUUCUUGUCGUCCUAGUCGAGGCUGUUCCUCUGAAGGUGAGGGGGCAGCGGGGAAGACUCCCGCCCCCUCGCAGGUCCCCACCGCCCUGGGGGCCAGGCCAGCACGGAAAGGCUACCGCUUUGAAGAGAGCCGCAGGGCAAGCUGAGCGCACGCACGCACGCAGGCAGGCAGGGCGGAGCCGCGCGCGCUUGGAUUGGCCGAAGUCUCGCCUUUCGUCGCCGCCUCGCUCUUCCCCGUCUCUCCCGCGUCUCCGCCUGUCACUCUUGUCCGAACAGGAGAAGCUCUCCAGGCGACGAGGCGAACCCUUGCGCGGCAGCCCACUCUGCGCCGCCGCCGCCGCCGCCACCAUGCACCUCUGCAGCUUUGCGUGGCGCCCUCUGGCCCGCCGCCUCACGCAAGGGGCUGCCCCCUUCGUCCGCGGACACGCACCUUUCCGCCAGAUGUCAUCUGGAAGCGUUCCUGGAUCUUCUGGGGAGAACUUUAUUUAUUAUCUGCUCGUUGCUGGUGCUGCUGCAGCAGGAGGUUUUUUAGCCUACAGAACGGUUACUUCUGACAAAUCCAGGUACAACGAACGUAUCAGUGAUAUGCAGCAAAGAACUGUAGCAGAAUGGAAACCAAAACCGUGGCCUCCUCAGUCCUUAGAAAACGAUGAAACAGAAGCAAACGAAACUACUGAUGCAAGUGAAGAAGUAAAGGAUGCAGUUGAAGGAGAGACUGCAGCAGUAACUACUGGUGAAUCCGAAGUGCAAAAUGAAAAGCACACUGAAUCAGCAGAAGCACAGAGAGAAGACGAAUCGCCUGCUGAAGAGGUAUCCUCUGGUGUGCAAGAAGAGCAAGAUGCUCCUUCCAGCUCAGAGGCAGCCCAAAUGCAAGGUUAACAUUGCAAAUGGAAAUCUGUAGGCAUUUUACCUUGUAUCACAGGAAGCACUGCUUUGCUCAUGUUAACAUAGUAUUUCACACGGAAUAAACUUGUAUUUUAAAACCUUAAUUAAAGUUUAAUAUAAAUGAGAUGUGAUUUCAGCUGCAGUUUCCAACUUUAAUUCAUACAACUUAUUUUAGGUAGUUUGUUGCAAAAUAUUUCUGGAAGAAGGAGCCCUAAUUUGCCAUUUGUGGUGCAAGGCUCCUGGUUUUGUCCAGAAGAAAUAGCUGAACAUGCCUAGAGAGUGUGUGUUAUAAAUAGAAUUGAGUGCAGUUCAGUGUGCUCUUUCCCUCCUAAAUGCACAAGCUGUAAGAUGCGUAGAGAGGCAUUUUGGCCCAUUAGAAAUAUAUUUACUAUUACAAAAUCUUGUAUGGUUUUCUCCUGCUGCCAAAUCCAUUUCCUUUCUGAAUAUUUUUUUUUAAAAAAACCAACAACAUUAUUAUUAUUUUUGGUGUAUUUCCAAAACCAUCCAUUAUUUGGAGGGUUGUAUUCAAUGCUUCUCUCACUCAGAGUAGAUACUUUGAAACGAAUGAACCCAAGUUAAACAUGUCCAUUAACAUCAAUGUUUCUACUCUGAGUUGAGUCAAGCAGAGAAUACCACCUAUAAUUUUGAGUGCUUUUCAGCCUUCGUUAUGCAAAGAAUGAGAAUGUGAUUUCUGAUUAGCCCUAAAAACAAUGACCAAAUAAGACCAUUCCAAAAUAAUUUUGAUGGCUGCAAUCCAGGAAGUGAGUAACAUGAACGCAUUCUAGGCUCUGUUUCAUUGCUGGCCAUGGAAAUAUAUUUACUUGCAACUCUUUGUCUUAUGUAGUGGACAGUGGAACCUGACACUGUUCAGCAUUCUCUUAAUCACAGAUAAUGCCUUCAGUAUUAAACUGGUAAAAACUAGAUGAAUAAAACAUAGGCCUUUAUUAGGAACGGCUCUAUAGUACCAGCACACCCCUUAGUCAUCUGAUUUGUAUCCAUCAUUAAGUAAUUUGUAACGUGAGUUCAGUUUUGUCAUUGCUGGUGAUGCUGCAGUUAAAAAGACCUGAUCUUAAAUAAUUUAUAAAAGCAAGCCUUAUUUGGACAAGUCACUCUUGCCAGAGAGAAGGGGGUGGGGAGGUGAUUUUUGCAAAUACCCAAAGCACUCUGUACCUUCCCAAAAUCUGUUUUGGUGGUUUUUAGGGGUCCUCUGGAGGGGUAUGGAAAUUGGCUUGGGAGACCGCAGAAAGAAUUGGAAUGGGUGGAGCUUAGAGAAGAAGGAUUGAAAUCCCCACUUGGCUAUGAAGCACACUGGGUGACCUUGGGCCAGCCUCUCAGCCUAACCUGCUUCACAGGGUUGUUGUUGGGGGGAUUAAAUGGGGAGGGGGAGAACCAUGUAUGCCACCUAGAGCGCCUUGGAGAAAAGGGUGGGAUAUAAAUGCGGUAGAAAUUCCCAACCAAACUUCCAAGUCUGUUUGGGACUUUUUACAUUCUUGCAAUACAACUGUCCCAUUUUAUGUAAAUAACUGCAUUAUAUUUAUCUAGCUAGCUUAGUUUUGUUUAUCAAUAACUAGCUGGAUGUCAAGUUUUCCACAGCCAUGAAGCUUGAAAUGCUGUGAACGGGGCAAGCCAACUGAACUCCAGACCUUAUAGAUGGAAAUAAUUGUCUGCUACUGUAUUGCGGCUUUCCCCUGGCUUCACGAGAAUGCUGAUUUGGCUUCCCAGAAAUAGCUUUGUGUGCAUAAUGUGCACACACUGCUAUUUCCGAUGCUGAAGAGAAUGGGAUAAAAACACUGAUAUAAUGAGAUGCAAUACAAUUAAAUAUAAGCAAUACAAGUGAAAAACCACAAGCAGAGUUGGAGAAAUUCCAGUUUUAAUGUGUAAAAGUACUCAAGUUGGCACAAUAAACUUAAGUUAAUUUUGUUUUUUAACAUAGGUGAUUUCCAUUACUGUGUCUCCAA